GUGAGGAAUCUUCCACAAUGGGGGCAACCCUGAUGGAGCAACGCCGCGUGCAGGAUGAAGGCCUUCGGGUUGUAAACUGCUUUUAUAAGUGAGGAAUAUGACGGUAACUUAUGAAUAAGGAUCGGCUAACUACGUGCCAGCAGCCGCGGUCAUACGUAGGAUCCGAGCGUUAUCCGGAGUGACUGGGCGUAAAGAGUUGCGUAGGUGGUUAGUAAAGCGAAUAAUGAAAUCUGGUGGCUCAACCAUACAGGCUAUUAUUCGAACUCACUAACUCGAGAAUGGUAGAGGUCACUGGAAUUUCUAGUGUAGGAGUGAAAUCCGUAGAUAUUAGAAGGAACACCAAUGGCGUAGGCAGGUGACUGGACCAUUUCUGACACUAAGGCACGAAAGCGUGGGGAGCGAACCGGAUUAGAUACCCCAGUAGUCC
Molecule: ribosomal RNA, 427 nt
Filed under: uncultured bacterium
Lineage: Bacteria
Description: partial 16S ribosomal RNA
Rfam family: Bacterial small subunit ribosomal RNA
Source: RNAcentral